Molecule: ribosomal RNA, 497 nt
Filed under: uncultured bacterium
Lineage: Bacteria
Description: partial 16S ribosomal RNA
Rfam family: Bacterial small subunit ribosomal RNA
Source: RNAcentral
GAUGAACGCUGGCGGCGUGCCUAAUACAUGCCAGUCGAGCGAACAGACGAGGAGCUUGCUCCUCUGACGUUAGCGGCGGACGGGUGAGUAACACGUGGAUAACCUACCUAUAAGACUGAGAUAACUUCGGGAAACCGGAGCUAAUACCGGAUAAUAUAUUGAACCGCAUGGUUCAAUAGUGAAAGACGGUUUUGCUGUCACUUAUAGAUGGAUCCGCGCCGCAUUAGCUAGUUGGUAAGGUAACGGCUUACCAAGGCAACGAUGCGUAGCCGACCUGAGAGGGUGAUCGGCCACACUGGAACUGAGACACGGGCCAGACUCCUACGGGAGGCAGCAGUAGUGAAUCUUCCGCAAUGGGCGAAAGCCUGACGGAGCAACGCCGCGUGAGUGAUGAAGGUCCUCGGAUCGUAAAACUCUGUUAUUAGGGAAGAACAAAUGUGUAAGUAACUAUGCACGUCUUGACGGUACCUAAUCAGAAAGCCACGGCUAACUACGUG